AGCACGGGAGCAAUCCUGGUGGCGAGUGGCGAACGGGUGAGUAAUAUAUCGGAACGUGCCCAGUCGUGGGGGAUAACGCAGCGAAAGCUGUGCUAAUACCGCAUACGAUCUACGGAUGAAAGCGGGGGAUCGCAAGACCUCGCGCGAUUGGAGCGGCUGAUAUCAGAUUAGCUAGUUGGUGGGGUAAAGGCCUACCAAGGCGACGAUCUGUAGCUGGUCUGAGAGGACGACCAGCCACACUGGAACUGAGACACGGUCCAGACUCCUACGGGAGGCAGCAGUGGGGAAUUUUGGACAAUGGGCGCAAGCCUGAUCCAGCAAUGCCGCGUGCAGGAUGAAGGCCUUCGGGUUGUAAACUGCUUUUGUACGGAACGAAAAGGUCUCUCUUAAUACGAGAGAUUUAUGACGGUACCGUAAGAAUAAGCACCGGCUAACUACGUGCCAGCAGCCGCGGUAAUACGUAGGGUGCGAGCGUUAAUCGGAAUUACUGGGCGUAAAGCGUGCGCAGGCGGUUUUGUAAGACAGAUGUGAAAUCCCCGGGCUCAACCUGGGACCUGCAUUUGUGACUGCAAGGCUAGAGUACGGUAGAGGGGGAUGGAAUUCCGCGUGUAGCAGUGAAAUGCGUAGAUAUGCGGAGGAACACCGAUGGCGAAGGCAAUCCCCUGGACCUGUACUGACGCUCAUGCACGAAAGCGUGGGGAGCAAACAGGAUUAGAUACCCUGGUAGUCCACGCGCUAAACGAUGUCAACUGGUUGUUG
RNAcentral lists this ribosomal RNA (759 nucleotides) under Comamonadaceae bacterium. Its description in RNAcentral is "bacterial SSU rRNA". It matches the Rfam family "Bacterial small subunit ribosomal RNA", at positions 71 to 825 of the family's 1533-position model. Lineage: Bacteria; Pseudomonadati; Pseudomonadota; Betaproteobacteria; Burkholderiales; Comamonadaceae. The record is from RNAcentral.